RNAcentral lists this ribosomal RNA (244 nucleotides) under uncultured Alphaproteobacteria bacterium. Its description in RNAcentral is "partial 16S ribosomal RNA". It matches the Rfam family "Bacterial small subunit ribosomal RNA", at positions 1132 to 1397 of the family's 1533-position model. Lineage: Bacteria; Pseudomonadati; Pseudomonadota; Alphaproteobacteria. The record is from RNAcentral.
UGGGCACUCUAUGGAAACUGCCCGUGAUAAGCGGGAGGAAGGUGUGGAUGACGUCAAGUCCUCAUGGCCCUUACGGGUUGGGCUACACACGUGCUACAAUGGUGGUGACAAUGGGUUAAUCCCAAAAAGCCAUCUCAGUUCGGAUUGGGGUCUGCAACUCGACCCCAUGAAGUCGGAAUCGCUAGUAAUCGCGUAACAGCAUGACGCGGUGAAUACGUUCCCGGGCCUUGUACACACCGCCCGU